This 101-nucleotide microRNA precursor is filed under the name Caenorhabditis remanei. The record is from RNAcentral. Lineage: Eukaryota; Metazoa; Nematoda; Chromadorea; Rhabditida; Rhabditidae.
CAGAAGGCCUCGCCGAAUAUGACACUGUUGCGUAGCCUGACCUCUCCAAAAGAGUGAAUGGAUCUGACUACGCUCAGUGGAAUACCCGGAGAGUGCCUUCU